This is a non-coding RNA of Leucogyrophana mollusca, 88 nucleotides long. The record is from the annotation of a GenBank genome assembly. NCBI's taxonomy places the organism in Eukaryota, Fungi, Basidiomycota, Agaricomycetes, Boletales.
GGCAUGAUGGCCGAGCGGUCUAAGGCGCCAGAAUCAGGCUGACGUAAUCUGGUCCUUCGGGGCGGGAGUUCGAAUCUCCCUCAUGUCA